GGUAACUUAGAUCGUACGUGCUUUGCAUAUAAACUUUCAAUGGAGGUUACGUAAAAUUGUAGUGCCGGUCGAAAUUGGUCGAGAUGAACAAUUAAAACACCGACACCUUUCCUGACUUGGUUGAAUACUGCGAUCGACUUGACAAAGUGCGAGAUAGGCACGACGUAGUUGCGAAUUCCGUAAAUAACGCUAUUUGCGUUUAGUUAUGCAGGGUCUACAAUGUCAGUAAUAAUAAGACUCUGCAUUACACCUUAUUAACUUUGAAAACGAGAGAAUAAGGAAAGCACUCGUUUGGCAAUCGGCAAGGGUGUCGUAUAUUUCAUGCGGCUCAUGAGCAAGAAAUGAGAGAAUGUAUCCCGCGAAUCACAAGACUAUAUUCGUGUUGGAUCACACACCGUAUUUUGGCAUUUCCACUGAGUGCCCGCUGGAGUUUGAUUUUCUCAAGAGCAGGGGGCAAAAUCUGAUCCCGCUGGCACCGGUCUGCAAAUCUCUGUGGACCACCAGCGUCGAGGCCUCGUUGGAGUACUGUCGGAUUGUGUGGGAUCUCUUUCCUAUAGGGAAACUAAUUAGAUUUGUUGUGACUGACCGUGCAGCUUAUGUACUGAACUCAUGGAGUCCCUUGCAGCAAAAUUUGAAUCAUAUAAUGAAUGGCACUGCCAUUUUAGGAGUGCCAACAAAGACGCCAGACUCGGGGGAGGAUUAUUCCGUGAUACAUGGUCUACGUGUGGCGAUUGAGACACUGAACGAAUGCUCCGAGAUACAGCAUGAGAAACGAACAUCUCUCAAUGAAAACACUAGUAAGCUGAUAAACCGGGGCAGAGUAAUAUGUAUAACAAGUGCACGUGACAACAGCAACAUGAAGAGCUUAGAAAAUAUAUUUCUAAGUGAACUAGCAACAGAAAAUAAGAAUGCACUAGCUUCAGAUCAUUUAAUUCCUGUUGAUUAUUGUCAUUUAGUUAUACUGAACAUAUAUCCCAACAAUAUUGAAUCUCAAGUAACUAGUCAAGGUCCUCGAGAGGUAUCACCAUUUCUUACUGUAGAAGUGCACUCAAUUAAAUCUUCAGCACUUCAUUCUAAGUUAUCCCAUUUGAUUUUGUCUCAUUACGAUUUGGCCAGCACUACAGUAACGGGUAUACCUAUGAAGGAAGAACAGAACGCUAGUUCAUCUGCCAAUUAUGAUGUGGAGAUAUUUCAUUCCUCCGCCGCGCACACUGCAAUUUUAAAAGGUAAUCCGCAAGAUUCAGCAUUGAUAAAGACAUUUAGACGUUUCGAAGAAGGAUCGGAAUACGAGACGGUCACAUUAAAGUGGUGCACGCCGCGUGGCUGUAGCGCGUCGGAGAUGCAAAACUGCACAGCGAUGCACCGAAUCACACCGGUGGAUGUCAAUAGUAGACCGUCCUCUUGUUUAAUUAACUUUUUAUUAAAUGGCAGAUCGGUGAUGUUGGAAAUGGCUAGAAAAGCUGGAGGAAAGACUAUCUCGCAUCUAUUAGCAGCGCAUGGCGGCGAAAUUUUCAUUCAUACACUAUCCACUGCUCGAAGCGUGCUCGAAGAUCCACCUUCCAUUAGUGAGGGAUGCGGCGGACGUGUCACGGAUUAUAGAAUAACUGAUUUCGGUAUCCUCAUGAAAAAUAACAUAUUGGUACCACUAAAACGUACUUCCAAUUCUGAUGCUGAAGGUUUAGUAGAAAAGAUGAGAUCAAGACUAGAACGUCACACCAAAUAUUGGCCUAUGACUAUUUCAAGUACUCUUAUGUUUAACUUAAAACAGGUAAUAGAUCCACUACCAGAAUUAAUGGUGAAGGAGGAGCUCACCACAGAAGAGAUGCUCCAGUGCAAGCAAGUGAUUUUUAGCGUGCUUGGUCUAGAGGCGAAACAUGAGGCUUUGCCUCUACCAAGCAUCGGCGGAGGUCGCGGUGGGAAAGGAGGUGUACGCAGAGAGGAACAUUAUCGUUUGCUGUGGGAUGAGAUAGAAACAUUUCUUAAGCAUCACGCUAACAACUCGGCUGCGCAUACCGAAAUCCUUAAUUGUUUAUUGGAAAUCAGAAAUAAAGACGAAAAAGACAAAGUAGAACUCGAUCAGGCCUUGCGAGAGUUGGAUAGCUUUGGCAAGGAAGACGGAACUGCUAGAGUCAGUGUAAUCAGAGCGACAACGGAUUCGCCGAUGUCACCGCCGGCAAACGUAUCGGUACCUUUGACUAAACAGUUACACAAAGGCAAUAUUGUUACGUCGAGGAGCCUCCUGGAUAUCUGGAUGCAGCGUAGUGCACCAAAGGACAGAAAACCAGAUUUCCAUGGCAGAAUCAAUAGCGAUGGACUUAAAGCGAAGCUAUAUCCUAAUUUAAAGGAGACUGGAAGAGAACCCAGAGAGACCAUGUUAGAAGGUUAACAGAUAGAAGAGACGCGGAAUGUACCGUGUAAAGACACCAUUUGUAAUAAAGAGAGAACCAUAUGUCCAUCCAUAGAACUAACGUUUAUAAAACUUCAAUCUGUGACAAAAAUUUGAAAUGAAGUUAAUGAAAUAUUUAUAUUGAAAAAAGCUCCCCUCUCCUCUGCCGCUGACCGCUCUCUGCACUCCUCCUGCUGUUUUAUUAGUCAACGUCUGCCGAGUGUCUGCGUCGUCUAAGCGAUAUGUCAACCUCUGUCGAAUCUAUAGUUUACUUCGGCAUGCGCCCGGCUAUGCUAAUCAAUAAAGGACGCCGGACCGGACGAGGAGCAAGGAAAGAAAGCGCUCGUGUAUCAGUGUAUAUUGGCGCGUGCAUCUACACACACAUACACACACACACACGCGCGCGCAUGCACGCACACAAAAUCUCUCGAUUUAAUGUGUAGACAAAAGAUUUCCGAAUUUAUAUAAAGAAUCGAAAAAGGCAAAAAUUUCGAGAUCUUAAGUGUCCGCGAGUUUAACAUUCCGAAGAUCCACUCACACGUCAAAGUCUUAACAAUUUUCCGGAAAUAUUCUGGAUAUUUCUUAAUAAUCCAUUUUAAUUUAUAGAUCAUUUACUUUUCCGAAGAGAGGAGGUAAGAAAGUGCAGUUGGAGAGAAAUUUAAAUCGAUCCAUUUGACGCGGUAGUUAUUACUUAUGCUGCACCUUGUGUAAAACAAGCCACUAAAAGAGAGAUACGGUACUGCGAAGGGGGUGAGAGAGAUUACGGGAGAAGGACGAGGUGGAGGAGAAGGAGGACAAGGAUGAGGAAAAGGAGGAGGACGAGGAUGUGAAAGAGAAGAGGAGGGUUGCGGAAAGGAACCAGGGAGCACAAGUGUAUGACGUAACGGUUCAUUCAUCCUGAGACAGGCGAUAGAGGAUAUCCCGGUCAAUGGUAUACUUAUGCAUCAUACGCGACACGUGCAUGCAUGCGUGUGGAGAUGAAGCAACACGUGGUGUACAUACAUGCAAGUGUCUAAUGCAGAGCUUACAAUGGAAGUAGUAGUAAAGUUGUCAGUAAAAACUGACAAAUUAUAGUUAGGUGUGAGAAGAAUAAUCGAAUUUAAUUGGUCAAUUCUUAUGGUUUGCGACUUACAAUCUUACUAUUAUUGCCACAGAUAGCCACAAAUGUAUGUAUGAGCACAAAUUGUUCUCAUGUUGCUAAUAAAGAUGUUAGCAUCUUACUACGCAUUUACGUCGUCCCUUAUGCUGUUAUUUGCUAGCAUUCGACACUGAUCUUAAGUAACGCUAGCAUAAUGUUUGAAACGUGCAAAGAAUUUUAUUUCCGACAUCGAAUGCUAGCAAACGACAGCACGAGGGACGACAUAAAUGCGUAGCAAGAUGCUAAUAUCUUUAUUAUACCAAACUGGCUGUCUGGGGCCAUUGUAGACCCUGUAUAAUGUCUCGUCUACAAUGAGUUGUUAGUCAUUGGGCGUAAAAAAUCUAGCCAAUCACCUUAGAAAAGAAUAAGCGAACAUAAUUGAUUAAAUUUCUUACGACCAACAACUAACGACUCGUAUAAGGCUUAACUGUUUCGGUUUCUUCGCUAACUUUACUGUUCUUCGAAUAUAGAUUUUUUAAUUCGCUUAAUUAUUGUGAUAUUCGUCUAUUAUAGGUAUGCUUUACUUGAAUUUUCGGAUUAACGUUACUUAGAGAGUUGUUAAAUAUCUUUAUUGUUCAUUUUUGUAUUUUGUAAAAGUUUUGAAUAUUGUAAAACAUUUUAAAUAUUUUUGCAAGAAUUUAAGUCGCUUCUUUAUCUUUAAUCACGUUGUAAAAUGAUGAUCAACAUUGCGCUAUUUUCAUUAUACGUUGAUAAGAAAUGCGGAAGAGUUAAUAAUUAAUAUCUCACAAGUCGUCACAAUACUAAAAUGUAAUGAUAUUUAGUGGUUGCAUUAUCAUAUUUAUUUUUUAAAAAAUCUGACAGGUUUUUGUCAGAGACAUAGAUUAUUCGUAUAUUUAAUAGAUGUAAUCACUAAUUGCAUUAUGGAAGUAUCAGUUAAUUAUUGACGAUUUAAUGCAAUUUUUCAGAUAAAAAUUAUUGAUGAAAAUAACUGAAGAGACAUAAAAAAGAUAGACAGUAUUAAAAUCAUGAUAAAAUUACGAAUUCGAGCUACAGCUUUAUGUUUAUAUCAAACAGUUAUAUGAGUCGAUAAUUGGUAUUACAUAUAAUAUGAAACGAGCGUAUUAAACAGGGAAUUAUAUGAAAUAUAUAUGAUGAUCAAUAUCAAUCAAGUGCGAUAAUACCCACUGCGUGUAAUUAUUUAUAACGCUCUCAACAUUUUACAUCGUAAAUAUUAAAUGCUGUAUACAUGCCGCCAGUAAAAUAUCGAAUACGUAAAUAGAUAUAUUAAUUGUUGCUGAUAGCGCGAGACGCAUAGUCUGCAUCACGCCAUAUCGAUAUGGAGCGUUCAGCGUUUAUAUAAUUGAAACUCGUGUAUAGCUGUGUGGUACAUAUCGAUCGUGGCUUUCGAGGGUCACUGAACGAAACGAAACGAGAAAACGAAGCGGGCACCCAACGCGAGCACACUGUUCUUCCGCGCCAAUAAAUAAUUAUAAGCAGGAAUUUAAGCGUAAAAACCUCGACAAGUGCUGAGUUCCACUUAUCAACGUCAAUUUUACGUCAUUAUACAAAGAUGAGUUAAUUAAAUAGUGCUUUUAAUCUCGUUUAGUCCAAAAUUAAAAACUUGUUAUUUCUA
Monomorium pharaonis (pharaoh ant) is the source of this 5118-nucleotide RNA transcript. It is a transcript of the gene named integrator complex subunit 13, with no coding region annotated. The record is from RefSeq and is a predicted model, not a curated record. Lineage: Eukaryota; Metazoa; Arthropoda; Insecta; Hymenoptera; Formicidae. The transcript is spliced from 13 exons.